GAUGAACGCUGGCGGCGUGCCUAAUACAUGCAAGUCGAGCGAACUUACUAUCAGCUUGCUUCUCUGCAGUUAGCGACAGACGGGUGCGUAACAGGUGGAUAACCUAGCUAUACGACUGGGAUAACUUCGGAUAACCGGUGGUAAUACCUGCUAAUAUCUUGUACCUCAUUUUUCAGCAGUGAAAAAGGGUGUUGCUGUCUCUUAUAUAUGGAUCCGCGCUGCAUGCGCUAGUUGGUAAGGUAACGGCUUACCAAGGCAACGAUGCAUAGCCGACCUGAGAGGGGGACCGGCAAACCUGGACCUGAGACACGGUCCAGACUCCUACGGGAGGCAGCAGUGGGGAAUCUUGCGCAAUGGGCGAAAGCCUGACGGAGCAACGCGGGGUGGGUAAUGAAGUUCUUCGGAUGGUAAAACUCUGUUUUUAGGGAAGAAAAUAUGUGGAAGGAACUGUGCAUCUCUUGACGGUACCUAAUCAGAAAGCCACGGCUAACUACGUG
RNAcentral lists this ribosomal RNA (497 nucleotides) under uncultured bacterium. RNAcentral's name for it is "partial 16S ribosomal RNA". It matches the Rfam family "Bacterial small subunit ribosomal RNA", at positions 28 to 507 of the family's 1533-position model. The record is from RNAcentral.